This 978-nucleotide long non-coding RNA is filed under the name Physcomitrium patens. RNAcentral's name for it is "long non-coding RNA (PPAT_LNC002684)". The record is from RNAcentral. Lineage: Eukaryota; Viridiplantae; Streptophyta; Bryopsida; Funariales; Funariaceae.
UCUUAAUAAAACAUUAAAAUAAAAAAUUUAAUUAAAUUUCACUCAAAAUUUAGUCAAAUCUUAAUCAAAUUUUAAUUUAACCUUGAUCAAAUCCUUGGCAAAUCCUAGUCAAUUCUUAAAUAAGCCUUAAUCAAAUCUUGGACAAAUCUUAGUCAAAUCCUAAACAAAUUCUAACCAAAUCUUAAUCAAAUCUUUAACAAAUUCUAACCAAAGCUUAAUCAAAUCCUAAAUAAAUCAUAACCAAAUUUUAAUCAAAUCCUAAAUAAAUCCUAAUCAAAUUCUAAAUAAAUCUUAGUCAAAUUCUGAAUAAAUUCGAAUAAAACCUUAAUCAAAUCCUAAAUAAACCUUAGUCAAAUCCUAUUCAAAUUUUAAUCAAAUUCUAAAAAAAUCUUAAUAAAAUCUUAAUAAAAUCUUAGUCAAAUAUUAAUCAAAUCCUAAAUAAGUCCUAAUCAAACUCUAGACAAAGCCUUGAUAAAUCCUUAAUAAGCCCUAACUAAAUCCUAGAUAAACCCUAGUCAAAUUUUAGUCAAAUCAUAAUCAAAUCCUAAUAAAAUCUUAAUCAAAUUCUAAACAAAUUCUAAUCAAAUUCUAAUAAAAUCUUAGUCAAAUCCUAAUCAAAUCCUAAAUAAGUCCUAAUCAAAUUCUAGACAAAUAUUCAAUAAAUCCUAAAUAAACCUUUACCAAUUCCUAAACAAAUCAUAAUCGAAUUCUAGUCAAAUUGUAAUUAAAUCUUAAUCAAACCUAAAACAAAUCCUAAUAAAAUCCUAAAUAAGUCCGAAACAAACUCUAGACAAAUUCUAGUCAAACUCUAGUCAAAUCCUAAUCAAAUUCUAAUCAAAUUCUAAACAAAUCCUAAAUAAAUCCUAGUCACAUUCUAGUCAAAUCCUAGUCAAAUCCUAAAUAAGUCCAAACCAAAUCCUAAACAAAUCAUAGUCAAAUCUUAGACAAAUUCUAAUUAAAAUCUAACCUAAACUAAAU